CUUUUCUAUUUGACUUUAUGAGUUUAGGGUUGAGAAUCUGAAUCCUCAGUGAAGAGGGAAGAGGAGAGAAUGAAAUCCUUGAGUGUUUCACUAGUGGUCCUGUGGCUUCAGCUACACUGGGUGAGAAGCCAGCAGAAGGUGCAGCAGAGCCCAGAAUCCCUCAGUGUCUCAGAGGGAGCCAUGGCCUCUCUUAACUGCACUUUCAGUGAUCUUAAUUUUCAGUAUUUCUGGUGGUACAGACAGCAUUCUGGGGAAGGCCUCAAGGCACUGAUGUCCAUCUUCUCCAAUGGUGACAAGACAGAAGGCAGAUUCACAGUUCAUCUCAGUAAAGCCAGCCUUCAAGUUUCCCUGCACAUCAGAGACUCCCGUCCUGGUGACUCUGCUCUCUACUUCUGUGCAGUGUUGUAUCUCCUUUUCUCCAUCACCCUGCCCCCAGAAACCCGCAUCUCAUCUCCUCAACUUCUGCUUCUAUGAGGGUACGCCCCCACCGAACCACCCACUCCCAUCUCCCU
Molecule: non-coding RNA, 512 nt
Organism: Grammomys surdaster
Lineage: Eukaryota; Metazoa; Chordata; Mammalia; Rodentia; Muridae
Source: the annotation of a RefSeq genome assembly